GAUGAACGCUGGCGGCGUGCCUAAUACAUGCAAGUCGAGCGAACAGACGAGGAGCUUGCUCCUCUGACGUUAGCGGCGGACGGGUGAGUAACACGUGGAUAACCUACCUAUACGACUGGGAUAACUUCGGGAAACCGGAGCUAAUACCGGAUAAUAUAUUGAACCGCAUGGUUCACUAGUGAAAGACGGUUUUUCUGUCACUUAUAGCUUGAUCCGCGCCUCAUUAGCUAGUUGGUAAGGUAACGGCUUACCAAGGCAACGAUUCGUAGCCGACCUGAAGGCGUGGUUGGCCACACGGGAGGUGAGACAGAGCAGAGACUCCUAGGGGGGGCCGCAGUCGGGAAUCGUACGCAAGGGGGGAGAGGCUAACGGAGCAAAACGGCGUGAGUGAUGAAGGUGCUCGGAUCGGAAAGCUCUGUUAUUAGGAGAGAACAAAUGUGUAAUUACCCGGGCACGUAUUGACGGUACCGAAUAAAAAAGCCCCGGCUAACUACGUG
This 497-nucleotide ribosomal RNA is filed under the name uncultured bacterium. RNAcentral's name for it is "partial 16S ribosomal RNA". It matches the Rfam family "Bacterial small subunit ribosomal RNA", at positions 28 to 507 of the family's 1533-position model. The record is from RNAcentral.